GNUCGGCUUCGUAGGUGACCUGCGGAGGAUCAUUACCGAGUGCGGGUUCGAACGAGCCCAACCUCCCACCCGUGUUUACUGUUACCGCGUUGCCUCGGCGGGCCCACUGGGGCCUGGCCCCGGUCGCCGGGGGGCUUCUGCCCCCGGGCCCGCGCCCGCCGAAGCACCCUAGAACCCUGCCUGAACAGUGAGUCUGAGUGAGAUUUUAAAUCAUUAAAACUUUCAACAACGGAUCUCUUGGUUCCGGCAUCGAUGAAGAACGCAGCGAAAUGCGAUAAGUAAUGUGAAUUGCAGAAUUCCGUGAAUCAUCGAAUCUUUGAACGCACAUUGCGCCCCCUGGCAUUCCGGGGGGCAUGCCUGUCCGAGCGUCAUUUCUGCCCUCCAGCACGGCUGGGUGUUGGGUGCUGUCCCCCCGGGGACACGCCCCAAAAGCAGUGGCGGCGCCGCGUCGGGUCCUCGAGCGUAUGGGGCUCUGUCACCCGCUCGGGAGGGACUCGGUCGGCGCUGGUCUUCCCUUUAGGCCGCCCUUCGGGGUGCGCCUCUUCCGGUUGACCUCGGAUCAGGUAGGGCUACCCGCUGAACUUAAGCAUAUCAAAA
RNAcentral lists this ribosomal RNA (597 nucleotides) under Talaromyces radicus. Its description in RNAcentral is "eukaryotic LSU rRNA". The stretch from base 218 to 371 matches the Rfam family "5.8S ribosomal RNA". Lineage: Eukaryota; Fungi; Ascomycota; Eurotiomycetes; Eurotiales; Trichocomaceae. The record is from RNAcentral.